Molecule: ribosomal RNA, 1366 nt
Filed under: uncultured bacterium
Lineage: Bacteria
Description: bacterial SSU rRNA
Rfam family: Bacterial small subunit ribosomal RNA
Source: RNAcentral
GGACGAACGCUGGCGGCGUGCCUAACACAUGCAAGUCGAGCGGAGUCAUUUGGAGGAAGUUUUUGGAUGGAAUCCGGAUGAUUUAGCGGCGGACGGGUGAGUAACGCGUGAGCGACCAACCUUGCACAGGGGGAUAACGGACCGAAAGGUUCACUAAUACCGCAUGAGACCACGGUGUUGCAUGACACAGGGGUCAAAGGAGAAAUCCGGUGCAAGACGGGCUCGCGUCCGAUUAGGUAGUUGGUGCGGUAACGGCGCACCAAGCCCAUGAUCGGUAGCCGACCUGAGAGGGUGAUCGGCCACAUUGGAACUGAGACACGGUCCAGACUCCUACGGGAGGCAGCAGUGAGGAAUCUUGCGCAAUGGGGGAAACCCUGACCGAGCAACGCCGCGUGAGUGAUGAAGGUCUUCGGAUUGUAAAGCUCUGUUAUAAGGGAAGAACGGCAGUUAGAGGAAAUGCUAGCUGUUUGACGGUACUUUAUGAGAAAGCCACGGCUAACUACGUGCCAGCAGCCGCGGUAAUACGUAGGUGGCAAGCGUUAUCCGGAAUUAUUGGGCGUAAAGAGUGAGCAGGCGGCAGUUUAAGUUUGGAGUCAAAGCGAGGGGCUNNNNCCCUUAACNNNCUGAAAACUGAACAGCUAGAGUGCGAGAGAGGUAAGUGNAAUUCCAUGUGUAGCGGUGAAAUGNNUAGAUAUAUGGAGGAACACCAGUGGCGAAGGCGACUUACUAGCUCGAUACUGACGCUCAGUCACGNNNNCGUGGGUAGCAAAUAGGAUUAGAUACCCUAGUAGUCCACGCUGUAAACGAUGAGAACUAAGUAUUGCCGUGAGGCAGUGCUGAAGCUAACGCAUUAAGUUCUCCGCCUGGGGAGUACGGUCGCAAGACUGAAACUUAAAGGAAUUGACGGGGCCCCGCACAAGCAGUGGAGCAUGUGGUUUAAUUCGACGCUACGCGAAGAACCUUACCAGGACUUGACAUGGAAUUAAAGACCCUAGAAAUAGGGGGAUAGUCAUAGUUCACACAGGUGGUGCAUGGUUGUCGUCAGCUCGUGUCGUGAGAUGUUAGGUUAAGUCCUGCAACGAGCGCAACCCUCGUCCUUAGUUACCAUCAUUAAGUUGGGGACUCUAAGGAGACUGCCGAUGUAAAUCGGAGGAAGGUGGGGAUGACGUCAAAUCAUCAUGCCCUUUACGUCCUGGGCGACACACGUGCUACAAUGGCCGGUACAGAGAGAAGCAAGACCGCGAGGUGGAGCUAAUCCCAUAAAGCCGGUCUCAGUUCAGAUUGAAGUCUGCAACUCGACUUCAUGAAGUCGGAAUUGCUAGUAAUCGCAGAUCAGCCAUGCUGCGGUGAAUACGUUCCCGGGGCU